AUCUGUUCUGUUCACCAUUAUAACCCAGCAGCCAAACACAUAGUGGGUACUCAGUGAAUAUUUGUUGAGUGAAGAAAUAUAAAACUGAUAUGGAAGGAUUCACAAUGAACCAUUAACUGCAGUUUCUUCUAGAGACUAAGAGGGCCUGGGCAGCCUGAAAUUAACAGGCAAGGAUGACUUGAUUGGCAAAAUGCUGGCCCCAGACACACUGAUGAGGACCAGUUCAGCCUUGGGAAGCAGGAUGCCAGGUAGCUGCCUGAGCUAUGGAAGGGUCUAUGCAGACAGAUGAAUGCCACAGCUGUAACUGAGGCACAGAGCAAUAAACAGUGAAGCCAAUUUCCACGGCGGCGAGAGGGGGCCCCGGAGGUGACAACAAUGAAAGGACCGUCCUUCUGACAAGUUUUAGAUUCUCAGACUGAUGGAGUGAGUGAUGGAGUGGGUUGCCAACUGUAAUUGUUCCACUCAGCGCAGAAUGGCUGUGGACAAUAUAUUCAGGCAUCCCUAAAGAAGUCUGCCCAGGGUGAAACAAAUACAUUUGAGGUUUAAAUCAGAAAGGAAGGAGAGGCUGUUUCUACAGGUGUCAUAGAAAAAUCAAUACCGAGCCACGGAUUAUUGGAUCCCACAGAACCAUGGAGACUUGGCAGUGAAAUUCCUCCAAAGGCAGACGGUAUCCCUAGGUUUGGAAGUAUAAAUCCCAUGGGAAGUCAGCUGAAGAACAUUUUAUGCUUCACUUAUCCUAUUAUGAUCCCUGUACUGUUCCUUCUCUCUACAAGAUGGAUUGAAACAACAACAAAAGUUGUCUACAAUUUUGACUCUUAAGUUUGGGUCACCUAGUUAAUACCUUGACUCUGACGAUCCCCGGAGACAACAUUUUAUAAGAAAGACUAUCUAUUGGAAGGCUGUUACUCCGUUGUUAAUAAAACAGUAGGGAAAAUGCAACAUUCUGGGUGCUCUGACUGAUGAGGUUUAACUUUUGAUGUGGGACUACUUAAAUGAGAACAAACGACAGACAAUGACAUAUUUUGAAGCUUUCCAAAGUCAAAAUGGAAAAUAAAGAUUUCAUAAGUGGCAGCCUUUGUGUUUAUUGUUUUCAUAAUAUAAUGUCUGCAUAAGAAGAAAAAAUGUGCAAAAGACAAUGGAGAAAUGAUGGAGGAGCUGGGCAUAUGCAAAGUUCCAGGUGCCUCUAGAUACAAUAUGAGAAUGCUCAAAUUUUGGCCAUCUUUAUUUAAUGUUGGCAAUUAAAGAACAGAAACAGAGCAAUAAGACUGCACGGCUACAUUUUCCCAGUGCCACCAACUGGGAGUUAAGCUGACUAACAUUUUGAAAGCCCAGCCCAUUUACUUCACAGCAGGCAUGAUUUCCUGGAACUGGGACGUAUAAAGACUCUUCUUGACGAAGAAGGAAUGGGUGACAAGAACUUUAUAGCAGGGUAUUGCUUCCAGGGCUUGACUUCACACUACCCACCUGUGCGGCCGGCUCUCCUGGUGGGUGAUUGAUCGCACCGGCCAGCUGACUAAUAUCAUAAUUAACAAAGUUACUACUACGUCUGCAAACUUCAAUCAAAAAAUUUGCCAGAGAUAUGAUGAUAUGGUCACAAAGAUCACAAGGGACACGGAGUGUCGACUUUUGCUGAAGGUGGAGCGGCAGAGCUGUGCAGGAGAGAUGCAACACCGCGAACCUGUUCAGCCAAAGGAGGCUAAUAAUGAAGGGGCCGAGGAGGGAGGCCCGAGCGAUGAGGGUUAUCUCACAGCCUCAGAUGCUGGAUAAGUCGGAGGAGGCAGAAUCGCAUUUGGAUGACAUUCAGAACGGCCGGAGUGAUUCCUUGGAAGAGAAAAGCCUGUCUAUUCUUUCCAAGGUGCACAACUACUCCCCUGACCCUGCCCAUCCAAUGAUGAAUUAUGAGAAACUUGCCAUAGACAAAGGAUGCCCUUGGAGCCCCACCACACCUAAAGCCACGCUUUGAAGGAUCUGCCAAGCUCACUUUUAAUCAUGAGAAAGAAAUUACCCACAUGGAGUCAGCAGAAAAUGAGAAAGUAGAGCUCGUGCUGCGAAUAAUUCCAGCGAGUGCCAAGGGGCUAGUUGAGGAAUGGCUUCAUGAGGUGAAUAUCUUUAGCUUGUACUUAGGGUUUGGUUAGCGUAUAAUCAUUUUCUCUUUUAGGAGCGUGAUGACUAUCCUAUGUGCAUUUCCUAACUAAAGAGUUGCUCAGAGCAUUGUCAGGAUGUUGACAGAUUUAAUAUCAGUCUCGUCCUUGUUGUUAUUUACUAUGACUAAUUUUUCAUUUGCAAAAAUAUGCAAAAUCAAUUUAGGUGGAAAGGCUCUCCGAGCCAAUGACUGUCAAUAGCUGCAUUUGUGUAUUCGUGUGCAUCCCCGUGAGUGCAUGCCCGGUAAUUGAUGUCUCUGUGCAUAUAUGUGCCCUUGUUCUUGUCUCCUCUCUGUUGUGAACAUCGGUUGGGGGGAUUGGCCAGCCAAUGGGAUCUCAGAUGUGGUCUGAGGCUUUCAUUUGAUUUUUGGAUUAGGAAAAAAAGAAUGUGUCACAUCAUGAUUAAUGGUCAAUCUGAAUUUUCAAUUCAUAUGAAAGGAGGAGGGGGGUGCAGAUAUGAGCCCUAAUGACAAGACUAACCUUUUCCCUUUGGGUAGAGCACAAUUCAAAUUAAACAUCACUUUCAGUGUGAAAUUAAUUUGAAGUCCUCUUUCUUUUCUUUUCUUUUCUUUUUUUUUUUUUAUUUUUUAGUUUUUGGUGCCUGGCUUAACUCCUAGAUGGCUGCUUUUUCAGAGAGGGUCCCCUCCAUCCUAGCUCAGUGCCUGAGUCAUUCCCAGGAACCCACGGUUCCUCUUCCUUGGUUUUAUCUUUCUAUCGAUCAGGUCCAAGAAAAGAGUAUUUUUCUCUUUCAAGAGCUUCAUUACUCACAAGACAAGAU
Choloepus didactylus (southern two-toed sloth) is the source of this 2919-nucleotide long non-coding RNA. RefSeq lists it as uncharacterized. NCBI's taxonomy places the organism in Eukaryota, Metazoa, Chordata, Mammalia, Pilosa, Megalonychidae. The transcript is spliced from 13 exons. The record is from RefSeq and is a predicted model, not a curated record.